AACGAACGCUGGCGGCAUGCCUAACACAUGCAAGUCGAACGAGAUCUUCGGGUCUAGUGGCGCACGGGUGCGUAACGCGUGGGAAUCUGCCCUUUGGUUCGGUAUAACAGUUGGAAACGACUGCUAAUACCGGAUAAUGACGAAAGUCCAAAGAUUUAUCGCCAGAGGAUGAGCCCGCGUAGGAUUAGCUAGUUGGUGUGGUAAAGGCGCACCAAGGCGACGAUCCUUAGCUGGACUGAGAGGAUGAUCAGCCACACUGGGACUGAGACACGGCCCAGACUCCUACGGGAGGCAGCAGUGGGGAAUAUUGGACAAUGGGCGAAAGCCUGAUCCAGCAAUGCCGCGUGAGUGAUGAAGGCCUUAGGGUUGUAAAGCUCUUUUACCCGGGAUGAUAAUGACAGUACCGGGAGAAUAAGCUCUGGCUAACUCCGUGCCAGCCGCCGCAGUAA
Molecule: ribosomal RNA, 449 nt
Filed under: uncultured bacterium
Lineage: Bacteria
Description: partial 16S ribosomal RNA
Rfam family: Bacterial small subunit ribosomal RNA
Source: RNAcentral